This 429-nucleotide unclassified non-coding RNA is filed under the name Hermatomyces amphisporus. Its description in RNAcentral is "sequence contains 18S rRNA gene, ITS1". The stretch from base 51 to 366 matches the Rfam family "Group I catalytic intron". Rfam says of the family: Group I catalytic introns are large self-splicing ribozymes. They catalyse their own excision from mRNA, tRNA and rRNA precursors in a wide range of organisms. The record is from RNAcentral. Lineage: Eukaryota; Fungi; Ascomycota; Dothideomycetes; Pleosporales; Hermatomycetaceae.
CCUUCUGCGUAACACUUGCCGAAGCCUUAGCAGCCCGAAAGGGUGCAGUCACGACGACUCUAAUCAAGAGAGGACUGCUUAAAUGCUAGUCUGCUCAUCGCAGGCGACACUAUCAAAUUGCGGGAACACCCUAAAGACCUCAACACCAAGCGCUUGUGGGAAACCACAGCGUGGCCGAGCUAAUAGCCCUGGGUAUGGUAACAGCUUGAGGUAUGAUGCUCUCUCGGGAGCGGAAAUGGGCAAUCCGCAGCCAAGUCCUAAAGCGCUCUCACGGGUGCCAUGGAUGCUGUUCACAGGCCAAAUGGUAGUGGGUGACCCCAGACGGGGUUGCUUAAGAUAUGGUCGGGCCCCUUCAGAAAUGUUGGGGAUAAGCUUACGCUCAAAUCAACCGUUCCGUAGGUGAACCUGCGGAAGGAUCAUUAUCGAGGG